RNAcentral lists this transfer RNA (66 nucleotides) under Macrocheraia grandis grandis. RNAcentral's name for it is "tRNA-Asn". Lineage: Eukaryota; Metazoa; Arthropoda; Insecta; Hemiptera; Largidae. The record is from RNAcentral. RNAcentral also lists the same sequence under 1 other name.
UUAGUUAAAGCCAAAAAUAGAGGCCUCUUAUUGUUAAUAAGAAAAAUGAUUAAAUAUCUAACUAAA